UGAGUUCAAUUAAUAAUAAUAAUUUUACUUGAAGAAAAUAGUUUGCAAUUUCAUCAGCAGAAGUCAGCUUCAACACUCUCGAAGGAGUUUGCAGGCCGCCCCCCAUACAAUACAAAAUCAACCACAGUUAUACCCUGACAGAGGAUACUAAUUGCGUCAAUACAUGAGUCAACAAAAUUCUGAUUGGUUCCAAAACCUAGAUAAAACUCUCCAAAGACGUAUAUCUGAUAUGCUGGACACUGGCAGUUGAUCGUUUGUCCUGGGACUGUCUGAGCUUCUCCCUGUACAGACAGAUACUAACACACGUACACAGAGAACUUAUCUAAAAUUCAAGGCUUUCUAGCACUGGCGAGUGUCUUAUCAUUACGGUUGGAUACACACACAUAAUAUGUGGACAUUAA
Molecule: long non-coding RNA, 401 nt
Organism: Carassius gibelio (silver crucian carp)
Lineage: Eukaryota; Metazoa; Chordata; Actinopteri; Cypriniformes; Cyprinidae
Exons: 2
Source: RefSeq, a predicted model, not a curated record